RNAcentral lists this long non-coding RNA (490 nucleotides) under Gallus gallus (chicken). The record is from RNAcentral. Lineage: Eukaryota; Metazoa; Chordata; Aves; Galliformes; Phasianidae.
UGGUGCUGUUAUCUGAAAACGGAGAAUUGAAGAAGCCACUCACAAUGCUCAUUACAGGCUCAGUGACAUAUUUCUCCAGAGAUGUGUCUGCAUGUUUACGAUCCGUGGUUGUGUUACAAACCCUUGCCAUAUCAACAAGAAAGUUCUCAAAUAACUUCCAAAUGUGGUUACUGGCAUAGAUUUCUUUCAUUUCCACCUCAGUGUCCACGUAACAGUGGUUAACAAAAUUAACAUAGGCAAUUUUCACCUCAGGUAUGCAGUCAUCAUGGGUCACCACUCUCACUAUAUCAUCCAGCGGCAGGAGUGAAUUGCACUUGAUCUCUGUAUAUACAUUCUUUCCUUCCGUACAAGCUGCUAGCAAUUCCACUAGAGUGAUGUGAUAUGCUAAGGGUCCACUCUCAUCUGCUCGAUCUCGCUCUGAACACAUCAUUUGGAGUAGAACUGGAAAUGAUGCUCUAUCAUUGUAGAAUAUCAGCACAUCUUCACCCCC